UGCGUGCACGCAAGGUGAAGCGUGAUGGUUUCCUGUGCUGCAUACCGUGAAUGGGGAAGUCGUUGUGCAUGCUAAAAAAGUAUAUUGCUCCGCCGAUUGCCUUGCAAGUGGUAGUCGGUGGGCGAUGCCAGUGCUCCUCGAUGUCCUCACUCAGCCGAGACUCUUUGCGAUCACGGUAGUGGCGGGCAUUCGGGUUCUCACUCAUCUCUCGGAUGCGGAACGCUUUAAUGGUGCGUGGUCCAACGACCUCUAUGUGCCCAAUCGAUGCUGCACCCCGAUCGAAUGACGGUCAUGCCCCGUCACGACUGACCCCUAGCCCCGCGCUGGGGCAGCCAAGCGGCGGCAUUGACGUCAUC
Molecule: unclassified non-coding RNA, 356 nt
Filed under: Diplusodon rotatus
Lineage: Eukaryota; Viridiplantae; Streptophyta; Magnoliopsida; Myrtales; Lythraceae
Description: partial external transcribed spacer
Source: RNAcentral